GACAGAGGGUGCAAACGUUGUUCGGAAUUACUGGGCGUAAAGCGCGUGUAGGCGGCAGGGCAUGUCGGAUGUGAAAUCCCGUGGCUCAACCACGGAAGUGCACCCGAAACUGCCCAGCUUGAGUCUCGGAGAGGAAGGCGGAAUGCUUGGUGUAGAGGUGAAAUUCGUAGAUAUCAAGCGGAACACCGGUGGCGAAGGCGGCCUUCUGGACGAUGACUGACGCUGAGGUGCGAAAGCGUGGGGAGCAAACAGG
RNAcentral lists this ribosomal RNA (253 nucleotides) under uncultured bacterium. RNAcentral describes it as "partial 16S ribosomal RNA". It matches the Rfam family "Bacterial small subunit ribosomal RNA", at positions 524 to 776 of the family's 1533-position model. The record is from RNAcentral.